Long non-coding RNA from Hevea brasiliensis (rubber tree), 462 nucleotides. RefSeq lists it as uncharacterized. The record is from RefSeq and is a predicted model, not a curated record. The transcript has 2 exons. NCBI's taxonomy places the organism in Eukaryota, Viridiplantae, Streptophyta, Magnoliopsida, Malpighiales, Euphorbiaceae.
UCUUCAAUUGUAGUACCUAGAUCUUUAUCUUAUUCACUGGCUUAUCACUUGUGAGUCAGGAAAGUAUGAAUAUCCAAUACCUAAGGGGAGCUUCAACCAAUGGACUACAAGUCUGUGUGGGCAGGCAUGGAAGAGUGCCAGAGGCUAGGCCUCACAAAGUCCACUGGAGUCAGCAACUUUUCUCGUAACAGGUUUGAAACUAUAUUUUCCUUUGCUACAAUUCCUCCUGCAGUGAACCAAGUCGAGAUAAGCCCUGUAUGGCAACAAAAGAAGCUUAUAGAAUUUUGCAAGACCCAAAAUGUCAUAGUGACUGCUAGGAGCGUUCGGUUCCAGUUUGGUUUCAAUUCAGUCCAGGAUUUGUCUAGAAAUCAGAACCGAAUCGGUAUUUUAAAAUUUUGGUACGGUUUUGGUUCGAUUCUUCAUUGCUUUGGUUUCAGUUUGGUACAGUUAUCGGUUUUUCUA